CCUCUAGAGAUUAGAGUUUGAUCCUGGCUCAGGACGAACGCUGGCGGCGUGCUUAACACAUGCAAGUCGAACGGAUCGUCCCUGGCUUGCCAGGGGUGUUUAGUGGCGAACGGGUGAGUAACACGUGAGCAACCUGCCCUCGACUCUGGGAUAACUCCGGGAAACCGGGGCUAAUACCGGAUAUGACUGCCUGCCGCAUGGUGGGUGGUGGAAAGUUUUUCGGUCGGGGAUGGGCUCGCGGCCUAUCAGCUUGUUGGUGGGGUGAUGGCCUACCAAGGCGACGACGGGUAGCCGGCCUGAGAGGGUGACCGGCCACACUGGGACUGAGACAUGGCCCAGACUCCUACGGGAGGCAGCAGUGGGGAAUAUUGCGCAAUGGGCGGAAGCCUGACGCAGCGACGCCGCGUGAGGGAUGACGGCCUUCGGGUUGUAAACCUCUUUCAGCAGGGAAGAAGCUAACGUGACGGUACCUGCAGAAGAAGCACCGGCUAACUACGUGCCAGCAGCCGCGGUAAUACGUAGGGUGCAAGCGUUGUCCGGAAUUAUUGGGCGUAAAGAGCUCGUAGGCGGUCUGUCGCGUCUGCUGUGAAAACCCCGGGCUCAACCCGGGGCUGGCAGUGGGUACGGGCAGACUAGAGUGCAGUAGGGGAGACUGGAAUUCCUGGUGUAGCGGUGAAAUGCGCAGAUAUCAGGAGGAACACCGGUGGCGAAGGCGGGUCUCUGGGCUGUUACUGACGCUGAGGAGCGAAAGCGUGGGGAGCGAACAGGAUUAGAUACCCUGGUAGUCCACGCCGUAAACGUUGGGCGCUAGGUGUGGGUCCCAUUCCACGGGGUCUGUGCCGCAGCUAACGCAUUAAGCGCCCCGCCUGGGGAGUACGGCCGCAAGGCUAAAACUCAAAGGAAUUGACGGGGCCCCGCACAAGCGGCGUAGCAUGCGGAUUAAUUCGAUGCAACGCGAAGAACCUUACCAAGGCUUGACAUCCACGGUAAUCCAUCAGAGAUGGUGGGUCCGCAAGGGAUCGUGGACAGGUGGUGCAUGGUUGUCGUCAGCUCGUGUCGUGAGAUGUUGGGUUAAGUCCCGCAACGAGCGCAACCCUCGUUCCAUGUUGCCAGCAACACUUUCGGGUGGUUGGGGACUCAUGGGAGACUGCCGGGGUCAACUCGGAGGAAGGUGGGGAUGACGUCAAAUCAUCAUGCCCCUUAUGUCUUGGGCUUCACGCAUGCUACAAUGGCCAGUACAAUGGGUUGCGAGACCGUGAGGUGGAGCGAAUCCCAAAAAGCUGGUCUCAGUUCGGAUCGGGGUCUGCAACUCGACCCCGUAAAGUCGGAGCCGCUAGUAAUCGCAGAUCAGCAACGCUGCGGUGAAUACGUUCCCGGGGCUUGUACACACCGCCCGUCACGUCACGAAAGUCGGUAACACCCGAAGCCGGUGGCCCAACCCUUGGGGGGGAGCCGUCGAAGGUGGGACUGGCGAUUGGGACGAAGUCGUAACAAGGUAACCG
This 1502-nucleotide ribosomal RNA is filed under the name Kineosporiaceae bacterium G3A1. Its description in RNAcentral is "bacterial SSU rRNA". It matches the Rfam family "Bacterial small subunit ribosomal RNA". The record is from RNAcentral. Lineage: Bacteria; Bacillati; Actinomycetota; Actinomycetes; Kineosporiales; Kineosporiaceae.